Molecule: ribosomal RNA, 492 nt
Filed under: uncultured bacterium
Lineage: Bacteria
Description: partial 16S ribosomal RNA
Rfam family: Bacterial small subunit ribosomal RNA
Source: RNAcentral
AGUGAACGCUGGCGGUAGGCCUAACACAUGCAAGUCGAACGGCAGCACAGUAAGAGCUUGCUCUUACGGGUGGCGAGUGGCGGACGGGUGAGGAAUACAUCGGAAUCUACUUUUUCGAGGGGGAUAACGUAGGGAAACUAACGCUAAUACCGCAUACGACCUACGGGUGAAAGCAGGGGAUCUUCUGACCUUGCGCGAUUGAGUGAGCCGAUGUCGGAGUAGCUAGUUGGCGGGGUAAAGGCCCACCCAGGCGACGAUCCGUAGCUGGUCUGAGAGGAUGAUCGGCCACACUGGAAGUGGGACACGGUCCAGACUCCUACGGGAGGCAGCAGUGGGGAAUAUUGGACAAAGGGCGCAAGUCUGAUCCAGCCAUACCGCGUGGGUGAAGGAGGCCUUCGGGUUGUAAAGCCCUUUUGUGGGGAAAGAAAAUCAGCAGGUUAAUACGCCGCUGUUCUGACGGUACCCAAAGAAGAAGCACCGGCUAACUUCGUG